UUACGAAUAGCACCUACCGAUGGUCCCAU
This 29-nucleotide small RNA is filed under the name Bombyx mori (domestic silkworm). RNAcentral describes it as "ovarian small RNA-36518". Lineage: Eukaryota; Metazoa; Arthropoda; Insecta; Lepidoptera; Bombycidae. The record is from RNAcentral.